This 219-nucleotide ribosomal RNA is filed under the name uncultured Pasteurellales bacterium. RNAcentral's name for it is "partial 16S ribosomal RNA". It matches the Rfam family "Bacterial small subunit ribosomal RNA", at positions 112 to 334 of the family's 1533-position model. The record is from RNAcentral. Lineage: Bacteria; Pseudomonadati; Pseudomonadota; Gammaproteobacteria; Pasteurellales.
AAUGCUUGGGAAUCUGGCUUAUGGAGGGGGAUAACUACGGGAAACUGUAGCUAAUACCGCGUAGAAUCGGAAGAUGAAAGUGCGGGACCGCAAGGCCGCAUGCCAUGAGAUGAGCCCAAGUGGGAUUAGGUAGUUGGUGGGGUAAAGGCCUACCAAGCCUGCGAUCUCUAGCUGGUCUGAGAGGAUGGCCAGCCACACUGGAACUGAGACACGGUCCAG